UACGAAGGGGGCGAGCGUUGUUCGGAAUCACUGGGCGUAAAGGGUGCGCAGGCGGCUUUUUAAGUCAGGGGUGAAAUCCCGAGGCUCAACGGCGGAACUGCCUUUGAUACUGGGGAUCUUGAGUCCGGAAGAGGUGAGUGGAACUGCGGGUGUAGAGGUGAAAUUCGUAGAUAUUGGCAAGAACACCGGUGGCGAAGGCGGCUCACUGGUCCGGAACUGACGCUGAGGCACGAAAGCGUGGGGAGCAAACAGG
RNAcentral lists this ribosomal RNA (253 nucleotides) under uncultured bacterium. Its description in RNAcentral is "partial 16S ribosomal RNA". It matches the Rfam family "Bacterial small subunit ribosomal RNA", at positions 524 to 776 of the family's 1533-position model. The record is from RNAcentral.